CCUACGGGAGGCAGCAGUGGGGAAUAUUGCACAAUGGGGGAAACCCUGAUGCAGCGACGCCGCGUGAGUGAAGAAGGAAUUCGUUAUGUAAAGCCCUAUCAGCAGGGAAGAAAAUGACGGUACCUGAGUAAUAAGCCCCGGCUAACUACGUGCCAGCAGCCGCGGUAAUACGAAGGGGGCAAGCGUUAUCCGGAUUUUCUGGGGGUAAAGUGAGCGUAGACGGCAGUGCAAGUCUGGAGUGAAAGGCGGGGGCUCAACCCCCGGACUGCUCUGGAAACUGGACGGCUGGAGUGCAGGAGAGGUAAGUGGAAUUCCUAGUGUAGCGGUGAAAUGCGUAGAUAUUAGGAGGAACACCAGUGGCGAAGGCGGCUUACUGGACUGUAACUGACGUUGAGGCUCGAAAGCGUGGGGAGCAAACAGGAUUAGAUACCCGAGUAGUC
RNAcentral lists this ribosomal RNA (440 nucleotides) under uncultured bacterium. RNAcentral's name for it is "partial 16S ribosomal RNA". It matches the Rfam family "Bacterial small subunit ribosomal RNA", at positions 338 to 795 of the family's 1533-position model. The record is from RNAcentral.